Molecule: ribosomal RNA, 701 nt
Filed under: uncultured Lachnospiraceae bacterium
Lineage: Bacteria; Bacillati; Bacillota; Clostridia; Lachnospirales; Lachnospiraceae
Description: bacterial SSU rRNA
Rfam family: Bacterial small subunit ribosomal RNA
Source: RNAcentral
AGAGUUUGAUCCUGGACUCAGGACGAACGCUGGCGGCGCGCCUAACACAUGCAAGUCGAACGAGCGAGAGAGAGCUUGCUUUCUCGAGCGAGUGGCGAACGGGUGAGUAACGCGUGAGGAACCUGCCUCAAAGAGGGGGACAACAGUUGGAAACGACUGCUAAUACCGCAUAAGCCCACGGUGCCGCAUGGUACAGAGGGAAAAGGAGCAAUCCGCUUUGAGAUGGCCUCGCGUCCGAUUAGCUAGUUGGUGAGGUAACGGCCCACCAAGGCGACGAUCGGUAGCCGGACUGAGAGGUUGAACGGCCACAUUGGGACUGAGACACGGCCCAGACUCCUACGGGAGGCAGCAGUGGGGAAUAUUGCACAAUGGGGGAAACCCUGAUGCAGCGACGCCGCGUGGAGGAAGAAGGUCUUCGGAUUGUAAACUCCUGUUGUUGGGGAAGAUAAUGACGGUACCCAACAAGGAAGUGACGGCUAACUACGUGCCAGCAGCCGCGGUAAAACGUAGGUCACAAGCGUUGUCCGGAAUUACUGGGUGUAAAGGGAGCGCAGGCGGGAAGACAAGUUGGAAGUGAAAUCUAUGGGCUCAACCCAUAAACUGCUUUCAAAACUGUUUUUCUUGAGUAGUGCAGAGGUAGGCGGAAUUCCCGGUGUAGCGGUGGAAUGCGUAGAUAUCGUGAGGAACACCAGUGGCGAAGG